CAGUAUCAUGCGUGAAACUGACCAAUGAGCGUGUGUGUUUACUCUCUCUGAGCUAAGACGCGAGAUCGGCGCUGGGCGAGAGGAUCGCCGUGUGGAGACUCGAUCUGUGACUUCAGUGGCCUGUGGAAGCCUGACACCGGCGAGCGACAACUGCUACAAUCAUAUGAUGGAAAACUAGGACUGAACCUUUGAAAAAAUGCUUUUUAAAUACGCGGCAUUAUUGUUUUGAAUAAAUAUUUUUUCAUUAUUAUUAAAAUUAUUUAUUGUUAUGCAAGGAUAUAACAUACCAAAAAGAUGAUUGGGAACUUCAGCAUGAGCAGGAGAGGCGGGCUUCACACUAAAACCAACACUGACGGAUUACAGUAUACAGGUUUCUUCUGAUUUCCGCUUGAUUUUUGGAUUAUAUCGGCCAUAUUAUCCGGGAUGGAGGGUCGUGAUUUCUCCGCUCCAGCACACCUCCUUUCAGAGCGGGCCACGCUGGUGCAUCGCGCCGCCUCUCGCAUCUCCUCCGGCGGCCACGGCUCCGUGCAACACACGCCUCAUUUUCCAGCCGGGAAAUAUUAUACGUCUCACUUACCAAUGGCGGCGCAUUCAGUUUAACAACAUAGCGACUGCAAUUUGUGGUGCUGGAUCAUGGCUCUUUCCCUGAGAUGGUUUGAUCUGUAGAGUCUGCCAAGUCCUUAAAUGUAAUAACUUAUAUUUACAUUUAUUUAAUUCAUUUAAUAUAAACAAAUAAAUAAUACUUUACGUCUGUAAAUAACUUUUUAUAAUAAAGCGUUUGUCUAAUAUCUUGCAUCUCAUAAUGGCUUGAUUUUGCAUUAAACAUUUGGUGUCUAUUUCCGACCAGGGGGUUAGUGCCUUCCUUCCUGCAAGCCCCUCAACGCACCCCACAACACACACACCACCACUGCAGCUUUGUGUGUGUUUUACAGCAUGUUGCUCAAAGAUAAAAUCACACCAUCCUUCCCAUUUUAUUGCCUUGGAGUGGCAGAACGUCCCCUCAUUCUUACAUCUUGCCUGGAUAUCCCAGUGUCCUCUCUACAGGUUUACCUUGCUGACUGCUUCUUACCCUUGUGUUUUAUUUUCAAGAGGGGAAUAAAUAACUUUACUGCAGGAGUUUAUUGAAGAAAUCAUUGCGUGGAUAUCUCAGAAGGAGUCGUGAAGGCAGGCACAGGUGUUUAGUGGUGUUAUGAAAGUGUGUUUGGUGUUUAUGGCAGACCUGAUGAAGGGGUUUGUAGGGAGAUAUGAGGUUGGCUGGUUGUAAAGUCUCUCUCACUUCCCAUUUAUCUGAGAUCUGAAGUUUUAGGGCCCACAUCAAAGGCUCAGCUGAUAUUGACGGGCGUGUGUUUGUGUGUGUGUGUGUGUGUGUGUGUGGAAGCGUGUUAUGUUAUCUAUAGUUUACUUUGAGGGCAAAAUUAGUCCCCAGAAGUGAGCUAAAUCUGACAGAACCUGACUUCACACAUCCAGGCAUAUCUUCAUCUGGGAAAACCGGUUAGAAAUGAAAUAAAUAGUGUCUGUAACCUUUUCCUCUGUAUCUCCAUCUCUGUUUAAUAGAAAAUUGCAGGUUAUUUUACAUACUUAUCUUUACAUGGUUUGUUGCCUGAUGAAGUCAAAUUGACAUUUACCGCAAAAUCACACCCGACAACUUUAAACAACAUUAAAAAUUACC
Triplophysa rosa is the source of this 1669-nucleotide long non-coding RNA. RefSeq lists it as uncharacterized. The transcript has 3 exons. The record is from RefSeq and is a predicted model, not a curated record. NCBI's taxonomy places the organism in Eukaryota, Metazoa, Chordata, Actinopteri, Cypriniformes, Nemacheilidae.